RNAcentral lists this ribosomal RNA (635 nucleotides) under uncultured Methanosarcina sp. RNAcentral's name for it is "partial 16S ribosomal RNA". It matches the Rfam family "Archaeal small subunit ribosomal RNA", at positions 333 to 1414 of the family's 1478-position model. Lineage: Archaea; Methanobacteriati; Methanobacteriota; Methanomicrobia; Methanosarcinales; Methanosarcinaceae. The record is from RNAcentral.
CAAUAGGCUUUUAUCACUUAUCGGAGGAAACACCGGAGAUACCGGGGACACCGAGUGCCAAAAAAAAAAAAGAAAGCUGUCCAGUGGUGUAAACUACACCUGAAAAAAAAAGCCGGGCAAGACCGGGGCCAGCCGCCGCGGUAACACCGGGGGCCCGAGGGGGGAUCGUCAUUAUGGGGCCUAAAGGGUCCGUAGCCGGUUGGGUCAGCCCUCCGGGAAUUCUGAGGGCUUAACCGUUAGGUUUUCGGGGGAUACUGCCAGGCUUGGAACCGGGGGAGGUAAGAGGAACUCCGGGGGUGGGAGGGAAACCUGGUAACCCCUGGGGGACCCCCUGGGGGAAAGGGGUUUUACCAAAACGGGUCCACCGGUGAGGGACGAAAGCUGGGGGCCCAAACCGGAUAAAAUACCCGGGUAGCCCCGGCCGAAAACGAUGUUCGCUAGGGGCCAGGCAUGGCGCGACCGUGUCUGGGGCCGCAGGAAACCCGUGAGGCGGGCCCCCUGGAAAGACCGGCCGCAGGGUUGAAACUAAAAGAAAUUGGGGGGGGAAAGGGCAAAUUCUUUUAACCCUCCGGGAUUAGUCCCUUUAGGGGGGGUAAUUCUGGGCUUGGCGAAAUCUGGCCAAGCUGUUCCCGGAA